CCUACGGGCGGCAGCAGUGGGGGAUAUUGCACAAUGGGGGAAACCCUGAUGCAGCGACGCCGCGUGGGUGAAGAAGCGCCUCGGCGCGUAAAGCCCUGUCAGCAGGGAAGAAAAUGACGGUACCUGAAGCAGAAGCCCCGGCUAACUACGUGCCAGCAGCCGCGGCAAGACGGAGGGGGCAGGCGUUAUCCGGAUGUACUGGGGGUAAAGGGGGCGCAGUCGGCGAUGCAAGGCAGGAGGGAAAGCCCGGGGGCGAACCCCGGGAUUGCCGUUGAAACUGCGUGGCUAGAUUGCAGGAGGGGCAGGCGGAAUGCGUGGUGUAGCGGUGAAAUGCGUAGAUAUCAGGAAGAACACCGGUGGCGAAGGCAGCAUGCUGGACUGCAACUGACGUUGAGGCCCGAAAGUGUGGGGAGCGAACAGGAUUAGAUACCCUGGUAGUC
Molecule: ribosomal RNA, 440 nt
Filed under: uncultured bacterium
Lineage: Bacteria
Description: partial 16S ribosomal RNA
Rfam family: Bacterial small subunit ribosomal RNA
Source: RNAcentral